AGAUUGAACGCUGGCGGCAUGCCUUACACAUGCAAGUCGAACGGCAGCACGGGAGCAAUCCUGGUGGCGAGUGGCGAACGGGUGAGUAAUAUAUCGGAACGUGCCCAGUCGUGGGGGAUAACGCAGUGAAAGCUGUGCUAAUACCGCAUACGAUCUAUGGAUGAAAGCGGGGGACUCGCAAGAGCCUCGCGCGAUUGGAGCGGCCGAUAUCAGAUUAGCUAGUUGGUGGGGUAAAAGCCCACCAAGGCGACGAUCUGUAGCUGGUCUGAGACGGGCACGAGACCGACACUAGGAACUGAGACACGGUCCAGACU
This 314-nucleotide ribosomal RNA is filed under the name uncultured soil bacterium. Its description in RNAcentral is "bacterial SSU rRNA". It matches the Rfam family "Bacterial small subunit ribosomal RNA", at positions 26 to 337 of the family's 1533-position model. The record is from RNAcentral.